CCACACUUAAGAUGUACAUUAUCCUCAAUGUACAAACAUAUAUAAGUAUCGAAUAAGCACAAUAUCAAAAGAGACGAAGAGAACUGAAACUGCCAUGAGUUUGGAUGAAAUCUCCAGAAUAGGGAAAAUCAAAAUCGUGGGCAAAUCUAAAUGAAGUGCAUGUUUCGGAGAAAACUAAUAAGAAUAUAAACACAAAUAAAUGAGAAGAUAAAAAGAUUAAAAACUUGAAAUAAAAAACUAUCAAAAUAAUAAAAAUAACAACAUAAUUCAAAAUAAAAAUAAAAGUACAAAAGAAAAUAAAAAUAACUAAAGUAAAG
Molecule: long non-coding RNA, 317 nt
Filed under: Gossypium raimondii (Peruvian cotton)
Lineage: Eukaryota; Viridiplantae; Streptophyta; Magnoliopsida; Malvales; Malvaceae
Description: long non-coding RNA (GRAI_LNC005395)
Source: RNAcentral